This 270-nucleotide long non-coding RNA is filed under the name Homo sapiens (human). RNAcentral describes it as "non-protein coding lnc-CD9-2:2". Lineage: Eukaryota; Metazoa; Chordata; Mammalia; Primates; Hominidae. The record is from RNAcentral.
GGCAGCCUGCAGCUUGGCCUCUACCCGUGUGAUGCAGCAAACACACUUGCAAGGCAUGUUCUACUCUUCAAAUGACGGUAUAUAGAACCCGCGGGUACUUAUAAGGUGAAGAUUGACCCUGUGUGAAUGACAAGGAAGUGAUUCCUGAAGUUCCAGAGGGAGGAAGGGAUUUGCUCAAAGUCACCCAGCAGGGCAGUGUUAUUGACGCUGUUUCACAAACGAGGACCUCCGAUGGAAGGAGCUAGGCUACCUGGGAGAAAUGAUAUUCUG